This 406-nucleotide ribosomal RNA is filed under the name uncultured bacterium. Its description in RNAcentral is "partial 16S ribosomal RNA". It matches the Rfam family "Bacterial small subunit ribosomal RNA", at positions 30 to 526 of the family's 1533-position model. The record is from RNAcentral.
AUUGAACGCUGGCGGCAGGCCUAACACAUGCAAGUCGAGCGAGCGGCGGACGGGUGAGUAAUGUCUGGGAAACUGCCUGAUGGAGGGGGAUAACUACUGGAAACGGUAGCUAAUACCGCAUACCAUCAGAUGUGCCCAGAAUGGAUUAGCUGGUGGGUGGGGUAACGGCUCACCUAGGCGACGUUCCCUAGCUGGUCUGAGAGGAUGACCAGGCACUCUGGAACUGAGACACGGCCCAGACCCCUACGUGAGGCAGCAGAGGGGAAGAUUGCACAAUGGGCGCAAGCCUGAUGCAGCCAUGCCGCGUGUGUGAAGAAGGCCUUCGGGUUGUAAAGCACUUUCAGCGGGGAGGCGUUACCCGCAGAAGAAGCACCGGCUAACUCCGUGCCAGCAGCCGCGGUGAUUC